This 1012-nucleotide long non-coding RNA is filed under the name Chrysemys picta bellii (western painted turtle). Its description in RNAcentral is "lncRNA (ENSCPBG00000003457.1)". The record is from RNAcentral. Lineage: Eukaryota; Metazoa; Chordata; Testudines; Emydidae.
CUUGCAAGCAACACGCCUCGCGGGCUGCCUGUGUUGCCUCCUCCUGCUCCCAGCUUUGAACCUUUUGUUUUCUCCAGUCGGGGGGGCAGCGAGCUGCUGCUGCUAUGUCGGGAAAGUUCCAGGAGGCAUCGGAUCAGGCCAGGCUUUUGCUCUGCCGGGAUCUGCAAGGCGCGGUGUGUGUUCUGAGGCUGCUCGAAAAGGGAAGAUUCUGCUGAACAUCAGUGCAUGCAACCUCACAAAGAGCACUGAAAGAUGACUUAUUCAGACUGUUCCUUAUUCUGUUCAAGGGAUCCUGCCUGGAUUGGUAUGUUUUGGAUUUUUGUGUCAGGAAAGAGUGUUAUUGCAGGUGUAAAUGGACGCUAAACUUAAAUAUCCAAUUUAGAUACAUUGGAUACAAAUCCAAUGGAAAUUUGAGAAUGAAGUUGUGAAGUUAAAAAUGGAUCUUCCUAUUGGUUAAUUUAAAAAUUAGGCAAAGACCAUGGAACAUCAUUGGCAGUGCAAGUUUUCAGCAAUACUUUGCACUUCUUUAGUGCUUUUCAUUUGAUGAUAUUGAAGGGUGUCCCAAAUGCUAACUAGUCCUCGCAACAUCCCUGUGAAGCAGGUGGAUAAUAACUGUUUUACUAAUGAGGAAACUGGGUCACAGCAAGUCAGUGGCAGCACCGGCAGUUAACCCAGAAUGCUGAUGCUCUUUCUUGUGAUCUAAAGACUAGACCAUGCUCUUUCUGAAGAACUAAGUAAAUGGUAUUUUUCUUUUCUUUUUAUAUCUGUUCACAGUUUGUAAUAUGACUUCCAUGUUGGGCAUUUUUUGGCCAUUAACCAUCAGCUGAAUUAAGGGCAGAAGGCAUUCUUCUUAAGAGGGUAAUUAAGAGUCACUAAUUGCUCAAUCCAGAUUGGUCAUUGUUGCUUUAGUACUUUUCACUUUUAAAUAUAGAUAGUUCUAGUUUUAAGAGGAAAAGAGAAAAAUACUUCAAUUUUAAAUAAACUUUUUUUAUGAAUAAUUCUGCUAAAAUCA